Molecule: long non-coding RNA, 3151 nt
Organism: Miniopterus natalensis
Lineage: Eukaryota; Metazoa; Chordata; Mammalia; Chiroptera; Miniopteridae
Source: RefSeq, a predicted model, not a curated record
CACUCCCUCUUCCACUCCGUUGUGGGGCAGGGAAAAGGGACUCUUUGGGGUCACUUCAUGCCUUCCCCCCAAGUAGGACUGAGGACACUGUCUUCAUCAUGCAGAGGGUGCCGGGUCUUCCUCCAUCCAAGAACCAGCCCGAGAAGCCUUUCCUCUGUGCCUGGGGAAUGCGACCCCUUCCUGAGGGCACGGUGGGAUGUCGGUGCUGGAAGAGCUAAGCAGCCGCCAUAACCUGGGAACGUCAGGGUUGGGGAGAGUGCUACAAUCCCUUCCACCCUGGAUGGACUGGGGAGCAGCCAGCCUUGGACCUGCCCUCUGGUCCCAGCUUGCAGACUGAGCCCUAAAUUCAACCCCUGGAACCCCACUCCCAUCCCGCCUCGUCUGCUCUCUAAGGCUCUUGGUCUUCCUGCAAGGUCCAGACCAAGGAGGCUGGGCUCCCUCCGGCUUUUAUCCAUUCUGAUCUCCAGGUUUGCCCGGACCAAUCCAGACCCGGAAUAACGAAAACGCAGCUCGGGGAGCCCCCACCAGCCAGCGCCCGUGCCAGCUUCCCCCUGGCCAUGGCGUAGCUGCGGGUGCACACGGCCGCCAAGGCCAGCUCCACAUUCCUCAGUCCCUCUCCCCACUUCACCGGAGAGUGAGCCCUGCGCGCAGAGGAAGGGCCCCAGCUGCACAGACUGCCAAAGUCGACUGGGUCCCUCCUCACCAAAAAUGGUGAGACAAGAUUUCCUCUUGUGCACUGAGGAGCUGCGAGCAGAAAACGUCCGAGUUCUGCUCUUCCUCCCUGACAACUCCAAGAGGAUGCGAUGCCACAAGAAAUGGAACAAGACGGGGAACUUAGACUCAGCCCAGGAGGCCCGGAGGAGGGAGACGCCCGCCGCACACAGGUGAAACCCGCUCCUGGAGAUGCUGCAGCUGGCGACUCUCAGGCAGACGGGGAGGCGGGGGAGGCCGCCUGUCCUUUGCGUUGCCUCUGGGUCGGAAGAGGCGCUGGUGCUGCGGACAGAGCCCAGGCAGGACAGCAUCCCGCACGUGGGGCGCGCUCCCCAGGGUCCCGAGAGACGCCCAGGCCGAGGUGGAAAUUAGGAAGCGGACAGGGCAAGGUCCGAUGGCCCCACGACGGAGAUGGGGCGAAAAUCCGCCCGCAGUCCCUGGGAAGCCGGGCUCCUCGGGCUGUGCGGUGCGCCCGGCCCGCCUCCGGGUGGGAUGGCCUUCGGACCUCCGGCCUCCCGUGGAUUUUUGCCGCGGCCUGUUGGUCCCCAGAGUCACUCAGGACCCGUGAGGAGAACCCUCGCUGGUCGCUCCAGGACUCCGCCCAGCCCUGGUGGAGGAAGUCCAGGGGCACUAGGGCGCGAAUGCGGGGAUCCUGGGCCCCUCGCGCCCUCAGUGGGCCCCUCAGUCCCUCCACCUGGAGGGGGGAAAGCCAAUGAGAGCUGGGCCUUUCCUCUGAGGUGGAAGCUGCGCCUCGGCCCCGAGAUCUUCAGGACCGUCCCUGCUUUGCAGGGGUGGCCAGGGAAAGCCGGUCUCGGUCUCCGCCCUGCCACCCCCGCGCAAUCCUGCGGGAGUCGCGGCGGAGGUGGGUCGCCGGAGGAGGCCGGGCGGCGCGGCUGCAGUUCCGCCCUCUGCCCACUAGGUGUCUCCCAGUUAACCGGACGGCGGGGAGCCGCGGGUUCCCGGGGCGCCAGCCUCGGUUUCCCCCCGCUUUUGGAAGUGUGUCGUUCCUCUGGGAAAGCAACCAGUUUUCUUUCCUUUUUUUUUUUUCCUGCCCCCUCCUCGCCCCGCACUCCAGACCCUGGCUCUGGAAAUCCACCAGAAUCAAACGCUGGCUCCCUGCGGGCCUGCGUCGGACCGCUCUCGCCAUUGGAAUCUUUUUAUGACCUUUGAUGUGUUUAAAUAACAUAGCGAGGCUGAGCACACACCUCGGAUUAAACUUUAAUCGGCAGCAGCCAAGGUCGCCCAGGUGGUAAACGCGUUUCCUCCGAUGUCUCCUGGCGGACACUGCGGGGUCCGAAGUCUGGGGCUGUGGCCCCCACUGUGCCCUCCCGCCUCUGCCCAGGCCGGUGGGGGCCAGGACGAGGGCCAUCCCAUCCAGCUCCAAAGAGGGCUGAGGAAAUGGGAUCGGACGCAGACACCCAGGGUGGGCUAAUGACCUGAACACAGUUUUUAUAGCUACUAGACAGAAUAGUUAAAAAUUCCAAGAGGCACUUCCAAUUUCCCCUGACUCCAGAGAAUGGUUGGAGAUCCAAAGUCAUGGUCAGGGCCUUGAUUGUUUCCCCCAGGUUGCCCAAGGAGGGGUGGGAGGAUUGCUGGUAAUGAUGGUGCAGCCAAAUUAGCUGAUUGUUUUGAAGCUUGCCAAGCCCAUUUUGGGUAGGUGGGGACCUAGAACCCAGGCCAUACAAGGAUAGCUUGAAUUUCAGCUGGGCUGAGUCACCGGGGCUCAACAUAAUUUUCUGAACCAAUACACUCAUCAUAGAGAAUUGUCUUGGGCAGUUACUUAGGUAAAAACCCAAGGCCAGGGCAGCAUAUAUAGUGAGGGCCAGCAGUGUGCUCUUAAAAAGGGGAUGUGUACAUAGGGCUGGAGAGCUAGACAAACCAUCAGUAAAAGUGGCUUCCUCUGGGGAGAACUGGGGGCCAGAGGGUCCAGUGGAGAAUUCACUUUUUGCUAUCAAUUCUUUUGUAUUGCUUGCAAUUUGCACCAAUAUUAUGUGUUAGCCAUUGAGGCAAUACUUUUCAGAAAAUAGGGUGUCUCAUUUAUCCCAUGACCAAACAUGCUUUUGGGGAAUUCCUUCUACAUAGCAAACCAGACUUGGAUUCAGGCGAGACAUUGAAAUAAGGCACCUAAAGCUCAGGCCAGAGCCUUACUGGCUAUCCAGUCAGAUUUCCAUCUCCUGGGAGGGAUUCUCAGGCCUUUCUCUGCUGGGCUGGCCCUAACCUGGAAAUGAACCUGCCAGCCCAGAAUAUAAAACCCCAGUCAUUCAUAGCAACGGGAGAACUCCAUUGUCUCAAAAGGAAUUAAAGCCUGAUCUUCAAUCACACGCCCCCCCCAUCCCUGAGUGCCUGAGGGUUUAUAGACAAGGCCCCUACCUGCUCCUUCAGAUUAGAGAUUCCCACGGCCCCUAGCCAUGGUGCGAAUAGUAAAUAUUUUUUACGUGUA